Molecule: ribosomal RNA, 453 nt
Filed under: Triticum aestivum (bread wheat)
Lineage: Eukaryota; Viridiplantae; Streptophyta; Magnoliopsida; Poales; Poaceae
Description: partial small subunit ribosomal RNA
Source: RNAcentral
AUGGGGCUAUUGAUUCAAGCUUUGUUGGACAAGUACAAUGAGGAGAAUAAUCUUUUGGGGGAUGAUGCAUAUAAUGUUGAAAAUGUCGUGAGCUUCCAAGAAGUUUAUGAGGGCAAAGGUGGCUGGUACUAUCAUCUGAAUUGUACUAGAAAGACUAAAGGUGGCGUCGACAAUCUCUUCUUUGCCGAAGUCUUGAGAAUGAAUAGAGGACUACAAUUCAAGCUCACCUGUCUCCAUAUGGUUAAACCUGCUGUUGAUAACGGUACAUGCUAUGGUUGUAAAAAAACCAAUGUUAGUAUGAAGCACCCCAUUGACGCUGGUAAAUACAAAGGUGGCCACGAUCCCUUGUGGCCACCACGGCUUUGCGUGGUUCUUCCACCGGAUUUGCCUGAGGGUUUUGAUGCUAAGAUGAAAGCUAUGGAGGAAAGGAUUAGAUAUCAAUUCCAGGACUGA